AAGAUGAACAAGGGUCUUACGGGUUUGGGACGACAUGAGGGUGAGUACUUAAUGACAGAAAUUUCAUUUUUGUGUGAACUAACCCUUUAAUGACAGACAUUAGAGCAACAGGUUUAUUAGGCUGACCGCCAUGACGCAGAUCACAACUUCAUCUCUUACAAGUUCAUUUAAAAAGACGUUAUUUAACUCAUUUAAGACUGCUCUUUUGAGGAUAAACCAGGACAAAAAACUGGCAUUUCGGCAUAAUUAUGUGUGUUAUUGUUUGUUUAAACUUGAAAGAGAACUCGAAUACUGGCGCGCGUCUUUCUGUGCACGAGUCGUGUGUGUGUCAGACAGACACUACAUUCACAGACAGCGCGUUCUCGUUAGUCUUGUGGCCUUUGGAUGCCUUAGCAUUUGCGUGAAUAAGAGCGUGAACAUAUAAUUUAACACUAGCCAAAUUAGGACAGAAAAAACAGAUGCUGCGUUAAUUCUGUUAAAUAUUUUUAACAUGUUUAAACUGAAAAAAAAAAUCGCAUGCGUUAACGCUCUAAUUUUGACAGCACUAGUUCAAAUACUUUUGGUUUUCAUUUUGAACAGUAUUAGAUCUAUUUUAUUUAUAAUUUAAAACCUAACAAACAAAAUAUUUGACUUAAAGUUUGUUCAGGUCAGGCCUAAAUACCAGGUGCUUUCAUAUAUUAUUUUGUCAUCUAAUGCAAUGACAUUAGUACAUUUUUUUUUUUUUUUAAUUUGGCUUAAAUGUCUAAAUAGUUUUUGGGCCACUGUUUAUUGUAUCUAUAAUAUUUAUUUAAUUCUCAUUCAGUUGCAGUUCCUGUUUCCUCAUCUCAAGCUUAGACGUGUUAGAAGGGCAACAAGCUGGUUUCUCACAUGGGCAUCUGCAGUUCCGGGUUGACAAAACACUCAGUGACAUGCAGGUGCCCAGUCAGAAGGCAAUUACCACAACAAAACAUGUUUUUUACUUUCAAUUUUCAUUUUUGUAAGCUAUAAAAUGUCUCUCAGUGAGGCUUGCCAUGUUGCAACUGCAAGGACAGUUUUAUUAAAGUAUUUUGAUCUGACAGCAUAUUUCAUUAUUAUUUUUUAUUCUGUUCCUUGCUGUGGCAAACUGUGAAACUGAGGCACAGAGAGCUUUUUUGGUUAAGCUGUAAGUGAAACACUUUUGCAGUCUGUUAAUCAAGACUGAAUGUGAAGUAAAUCUAAUAUGUAUAUACCUAAGGAAUACAAUUUCUAUAUAAAGCAAAAUGCAUAUAUUGAUGGAAAAGCAGCAGCAAAGAUUUUUCAGAUUUGCUAUAAAUUUUAAAAAUAGCAAAAUUGUUCAAAAUUGCAAAAAACCAAGGACACAUGCAAUGUUUGGAUGUUUAAGUUCAAUAUAUAUAUAUAUAUAUAUAAAAAAAAUCAAUUAUGCAUAUUAAUUAUGCAUUUAAUAUUUACCUUACUAAUUAUAGCAUGUGUCCUCUUUUAUAGCUUACUGUUUUUAUUGCUAUGGCAUUGCCAAUAAUUAAGCAUAUAAGCUCAAAAUAUGAUGCAACAACUCUAAAAGCUAAAGCUUAAGGCAAAAGUUCUCAUUGUCAAAAUCGUCAUCGUCAUAUUGCAGAAUAGAUGUAUUCAGCAAUACUUCUGAUGACACCGGGUUUUUUUUUCUUUCUUUCUUUCUCUUUCUUUCUUUUUUUUCCUUCUUUGGUGUUGCAUCAAGAAUGCCCUUAGCACGCCUUAGAGAGAAUGAAAGAGUUCUUGUUAUGUUCACUUAGAAGGCUUGCUGUUGGCACUUCCAAAUCAAGCCCACAGUGCCCCCUGGUGAGAGACAGUGAAUCAGCAAAAGAGACAAAAAGUGUGUGUAUCAUCAUUACCACAAAUAAAUGCAACUACUUCUACUAAGGCAACCAAAACAGAGUCUCUACUUCUACGACAGAUAUAUUGCAUGCUUGCAGAGGAAGAGAGAGGCUGUGUAGCAUGUACAUCAUGUGGGGGACGUUGACAGUUAUAUAUCCAUAUACAUCCACUUAUAUAGAAAGAAAGGCGACACUGAUAUCAAAAAAUAAAAGGAUGAUUAAACACUGUGGAUGAUUACUCUGUUUUUUCUCUUUUCACCUGGAUUACUGUGCCUUUUCUUCACCGUGCACCACCCCACCCAACUUUACCCAUUCUCUUAAACAUUUAAAAGUGAAAAAAUGUAAAAUAAUUCCUAAACAAAAUGUGAGAAAAUUGCAUUUUAGUGAAAAAGACAAGAAAAAAACAAACAAACAGAAAAUUUGUUAUGAAAUUUGUAUAAUUUGUUUGUUUAUAUUACAUUAAAUAUGAGAUUAUUGUUUUUAGUAUAAAUACUAGUUCAUAGUAUAUGGAUCCAUUUUGUUUAGAACUGUCUCCAUAACUGGAAAUGUUUUAUAUAUUAAUAUUAAUUAUGAUUUAAUGAUAUAAUAAUAACAAUUUUGUGGUUGGCACAAUAUUCCAAAUCUUCUAAAGCCACACAAUUUUGUGUGAGGAUCAGACUGAAAUUUCAGCCAUUAUUGGCUGAAAGUUUUCAUAGAUCUCAAAUUCAAUUCAAACUUGGCACGUCACAUUAGCUUUUCUGUUAUUGAUAUCAAAUGACAUUAGUUUUGUGACUUAUUUAUAAGACUUGGAAUAUAGCAGAUAAAUGUUUUUUUUUUUUAAAUCCUUUUUAAAGCUUGUCAGCCCUUGGUCAAAUGGAGAAAAGCAACUUGGACAUUCCACUAAACAUCUCCCUUUUGUGUUUCCAUGGCAGAAAGAAAAUCAGACAGAUUUGGUACAACAUGAGGAUAAGAAGAAGGCGGCUGAUUGAACCAAAGCAGCCUACACAAUCCUAGACCAGCCCAGAAAGUGGGAAAGAGGCUGUUUUUCUUUGUUGGCCCUUUUAGAAGCACGCAAUGAGAGAGCUGCCUUACCUGUAGGUUCUUCCUCCAAACAUUGACGGCCGCAAAGGCUAGCUGCAUCUGCUUCCUGCGGGCGUCUUUAUGGCGCUUAUAUGCAAUUUCGAUGAAGAUGAGGAAGAUGCCUGCUGCAAUGCCUCCAGCAACUAGCAUGAAGACACCUGUGAACGAGAGGAAUGAAGGAGACUGUCAGACAAUUAAUGGAGACACAGUACUCUUUGAAUCAACCCAUUGAGGAGCUGGAGGGGGUGGAGCCUCUGUGUGAUGGAAUCCUACAUGUAUUGCCCUUAUAUUUAGGGCCUGCUGCUGAAAACCAUGCAAAAUGGAUGGAUGUUAAAGGUUAAUGAGUUUGUUACAAAUGUGAACACUAACACAGGUUUCUCUGUACCUGAAAUGGACCAUACCUGCCAUAUUCUCAAAGGUGAGUGUGGCUGGGGCAUUGCUCCUUGAGUCACACUCCUGGUAUCUCACCCAGGUUUUAUCUAGGUCCUCCAUGAAGCCAUUCUCAUGGGAACUGCAA
Molecule: long non-coding RNA, 3402 nt
Organism: Megalobrama amblycephala (Wuchang bream)
Lineage: Eukaryota; Metazoa; Chordata; Actinopteri; Cypriniformes; Xenocyprididae
Exons: 4
Source: RefSeq, a predicted model, not a curated record